AUGAAAUAAUCAUGAAAGACUUUUCUUACCAAAGUGCUCUGCAUCAACAAUGGAUCAAAAUAAUCAUUCUAAUAGAAAAUGAGUCAAAGAGAUCAUAGGUGCUGGAUAUACUAGAUAGGCAGGGUUUUGGAUGAGCAAAGGGUUGGGACAACAUUGCUAUGGGCUGUCUCAUUUCCUAGACUAUGGACUGGAACCAUAUAAAAAGAGCUCAUAUCCCAGUGCUCCUCAUUCACUCAUCUUCACUCCUUUGCAUUUGUCCUAGCUGCUGAAGAGGCUUUGCCCACACGACAGAAGAUGUGCUCCCGCAGACCUUGCCACGAGCGUGAAACCUCCUGCCACAGUUCUGGGUCUCGCUGCCAUGAGUCCAGACCUUCCUGCAACAUCACUGUGGUAGAGAGACCAUACUGCUGGCAAGGGCAACAAUACCGUCCACCCUACUAUCCAGUGCAACCCAUCUACCCAGGCUAUCAGCAGUGCUGCAAGUACCCUAAGAUCCCACAGUGCCCCCAGUACCCACAGUACCCCCAGUAUCCCCAGUUCCCACAGUACCCCAAGUAACAGCCAGAAGAACAGCAAGGAGAGAAGCCAAGACCUGCAUGUUCCCUUCCUCCUGUUAUGAAGAUGGCUCAUGUGCCGAAGGUUGCUUUGUCUUGUUGCAUAAAUUGCAGCUUCUCUAUGUAUGUCUGUGCCAUGUUUUGAAGAUUUGCCCACUGUAUAAGUGUGAAGUGUUCUUAACGAGGGUCCUUUCCGGAGUCGUGUAUGCUCCCAGACUAUGGGAAUUGUUCUAAUCUUGCUUUCCUACUUCCUACUGCAGCUUGAUAUGGCACACAAUAAAACAUAACAUUCACAAAAGCA
Alligator mississippiensis (American alligator) is the source of this 855-nucleotide long non-coding RNA. RefSeq lists it as uncharacterized. NCBI's taxonomy places the organism in Eukaryota, Metazoa, Chordata, Crocodylia, Alligatoridae. The record is from RefSeq and is a predicted model, not a curated record. The transcript has 2 exons.